Molecule: long non-coding RNA, 229 nt
Filed under: Homo sapiens (human)
Lineage: Eukaryota; Metazoa; Chordata; Mammalia; Primates; Hominidae
Description: non-protein coding lnc-MTRNR2L1-15:1
Source: RNAcentral
UGUCAUUUCAGGGGUUGGGCAUGUUCCAGGAUCUGUCUAUAGACUUCUCUCAGGAGGAAUGGGAGUGCCUGGACACUGCUCAGAAGGACUUAUACAGAGAUGUAAUGAUGGAGAACUACAGCAGCCUGGUCUCACUAGGUCUCUCUAUCCCAAAGCCUGAUGUGAUUUCCUUACUGGAGCAAUGGAAAGAGCUCUGGAUGGUUUCAAGGGACGUACCAGGAGGAUGGUG